This 506-nucleotide ribosomal RNA is filed under the name uncultured bacterium. Its description in RNAcentral is "bacterial SSU rRNA". It matches the Rfam family "Bacterial small subunit ribosomal RNA", at positions 8 to 525 of the family's 1533-position model. The record is from RNAcentral.
AGAGUUUGAUCCUGGCUCAGGACGAACGCUGGCGGCGUGCUUAACACAUGCAAGUCGAACGCUGAAGCUCCAGCUUGCUGGGGUGGAUGAGUGGCGAACGGGUGAGUAACACGUGAGUAACCUGCCCCCCUCUUUGGGAUAACUCCGGGAAACCGGGGCUAAUACUGGAUAGGACUGCUGGCCGCAUGGUUGGUGGUGGAAAGAUUUUUUGGUGGGGGAUGGGCUCGCGGCCUAUCAGCUUGAUGGUGGGGUGAUGGCCUACCAUGGCGACGACGGGUAGCCGGCCUGAGAGGGUGACCGGCCACACUGGGACUGAGACACGGCCCAGACUCCUGCGGGAGGCAGCAGUGGGGAAUAUUGCACAAUGGGCGCAAGCCUGAUGCAGCGACGCCGCGUGGGGGAUGACGGCCUUCGGGUUGUAAACCUCUUUCGACUCCGAAGAAGCGUAAGUGACGGUAGGGGUAGAAGAAGCACCGGCUAACUACGUGCCAGCAGCCGCGGUAAUA